Molecule: ribosomal RNA, 253 nt
Filed under: uncultured bacterium
Lineage: Bacteria
Description: partial 16S ribosomal RNA
Rfam family: Bacterial small subunit ribosomal RNA
Source: RNAcentral
GACAGAGGCCUCAAGCGUUAGGCGGAAUCACUGGGCUUAAAGCGUGUGUAGGCGGAUUGGUAAGUACUUUGUGAAAUCCCACGGCUUAACCGUGGAACUGCUUGGUAUACUGCCAGUCUUGAGCCAGCUAGGGGCUACCGGAACAAAUGGUGGAGCGGUGAAAUGCGUAGAUAUCAUAUGGAACGCCAAUGGUGAAAACAGGUAGCUGGGGCUGUGCUGACGCUGAGACACGAAAGCCAGGGGAGCAAACGGG